GGCAGCAAGGCGCGGGGCAGAAGGGCACGGUCAUGGUUUCCUUCCCCGGACGCAGCUAAGUCCAGACCCCGCCGGAGGAGCCGGAGCGGGGGACUUGCCUCUGAAGACUGCGACGAGGUGCCACCCGGUCGGGCACUGGAGCGCGUGCCCACCAGCCUCCCUCCUCGCCGCACCAGUCAGAACUCCAGUCCACAGUGGAUACUUUCGGCACAGAUGCACCAUUUUCAAGUGUCCCCAAACCACACCCCAGCAGAGUUUUGGUGUUCUGACCAUAUCAUCCAGCUGAUCUCUAUGGAAAAGGAAAAGGGAAGAGAGUGCUGACCUCAGUUUCAUUUCCUGCUAACGUCUACCAAUUACGGAGUAUGGAACUUCUGCCCGGUGCACGGGGAGCCUUAGCUCUGAUCUUCACAAGGACCCCACAAGUUAAUGAUGACCCCGUUUUAAAGAUAAAGAAUCUGAGAAUUUCAGAGGAAGUUGGAUUCUCUCAAGGAAGUUUCUGUCACCUGCAGUGGAGUACAACACCUGAGAGAAAGGGGUAGACCUUGCCAGACCUUGCUCAGAACACAGGAAUGAGGACUCUCUGAUAGCAUUCUGUAUCAUCCAAUUGACUACACAAGACCAAUGGGCUACAGGCAGCAUGUCUGCCAUGCUGGCAGCAAAAGGAGAGGCUGACAAACUUCAUGAUUAUGUCAAAGCAAAAUUUGCACUAGACAAAGUCAAACAGACAUUGAAGAUCUUAUUCAAAACUAU
Mustela erminea (ermine) is the source of this 750-nucleotide long non-coding RNA. RefSeq lists it as uncharacterized. The record is from RefSeq and is a predicted model, not a curated record. Lineage: Eukaryota; Metazoa; Chordata; Mammalia; Carnivora; Mustelidae. The transcript has 5 exons.